RNAcentral lists this ribosomal RNA (298 nucleotides) under Salmonella enterica subsp. enterica serovar Typhimurium. RNAcentral's name for it is "partial 23S ribosomal RNA". It matches the Rfam family "Bacterial large subunit ribosomal RNA", at positions 510 to 709 of the family's 2925-position model. The record is from RNAcentral. Lineage: Bacteria; Pseudomonadati; Pseudomonadota; Gammaproteobacteria; Enterobacterales; Enterobacteriaceae. RNAcentral also lists the same sequence under 1 other name.
AAAGGCGAAAAGAACCCCGGGAGGGGAGUGAAAAAGAACCUGAAACCGUGUACGUACAAGCAGUGGGAGCCCCACCACCAAAGCAUUCUCUGGUGUUGAAGGCCCUGCAAAGCAGCAUCGCGGUGGCGGAGCGUCGUUUGCGACGCCCAACACACAAAACAAGCGGUGAAUGCUUUGGGGUGGGGUGACUGCGUACCUUUUGUAUAAUGGGUCAGCGACUUAUAUUCUGUAGCAAGGUUAACCGAAUAGGGGAGCCGGAGGGAAACCGAGUCUUAAUUGGGCGUUAAGUUGCAGGGUA